Molecule: non-coding RNA, 23 nt
Filed under: Arabidopsis thaliana (thale cress)
Lineage: Eukaryota; Viridiplantae; Streptophyta; Magnoliopsida; Brassicales; Brassicaceae
Source: RNAcentral
AGUAAGGGUUGACCGAAGUCAGU